This 395-nucleotide ribosomal RNA is filed under the name uncultured bacterium. RNAcentral's name for it is "bacterial SSU rRNA". It matches the Rfam family "Bacterial small subunit ribosomal RNA", at positions 28 to 414 of the family's 1533-position model. The record is from RNAcentral.
GACGAACGCUGGCGGCGUGCCUAACACAUGCAAGUCGAGCGGGAACCUCAGGAGGGGUAACCCUUCUGAGGGGAGAGCGGCGAACGGGUGAGUAACACGUGGGCAACCUGCCCCGGACACCGGGAUAACCCAGGGAAACCUGAGCUAAUACCGGAUACUCCGGCGCGAUCGCAUGGUCGUGCCGGGAAAGCUCCGACGGUCCGGGAUGGGCCCGCGGCCUAUCAGCUUGUUGGUGGGGUAACGGCCCACCAAGGCGACGACGGGUAGCUGGUCUGAGAGGACGGCCAGCCACACUGGGACUGAGACACGGCCCAGACUCCUACGGGAGGCAGCAGUGGGGGAUCUUGCGCUAAUGCGCGAAAGCGUGACGCAGCGACGCCGCGUGGGGAUGAAGG